Long non-coding RNA from Hylaeus volcanicus, 1559 nucleotides. RefSeq lists it as uncharacterized. NCBI's taxonomy places the organism in Eukaryota, Metazoa, Arthropoda, Insecta, Hymenoptera, Colletidae. The record is from RefSeq and is a predicted model, not a curated record. The transcript is spliced from 5 exons.
CACCAAGCUGAUUGACGAUGACUAAAUUGGAAUCGAUCGGUUUUCUCCCUCUAAUCAGAGGAAUCCCUUUAAGAAACGUCUGCGUUAACACCUUAUUUUUGUGAAAUCGAGGAAAAGGGUUUAAUUAAAACCCCCACAGCUGGCGCCAUAUCAAAAGGCACAGUUGGUUCGCACGCCAAUAUUUCUAGACAUGUUGAGAAAAUUCUAGUGGUGCCGUCUUCUCUCGUGCAUACGAAUCUCGUCGAAGGAACGAAACUCGGACAAUAACUCGCUGAACUUAGAAUUCGUAAGUGGCGCCACUGUCUUCGACUGAAUGCUAUCAUCGAACAGUGACUCCAGUAUUCAUGUUGAUUGCCAAAUUUUCCUUCGGAAGUUUGGAUGAUAAGUGAGGAUCACAAGAGCUGUUAGAGUUGAAGGGUGAACAAGUGGAGUUACGUUACCAUUAAAAUAUGCGAAUCCAACAGCAAGAGACUCUUGCAAGCCAUUCCAACAAGGUAAUACGAUGCUUUUAAUAAAUUCUCACCUGCCUGUCCGUAUUAAUAUGUUUUCAAGUCAAGUUUGAGUAGGAUUUGGUUUUUGAGGAAUGUCUCGUUUGAUUUAGAGUGAAACAGCGGUUUUCAUAGGCGGCCUCGGUAUUUUUAUCGUUGUUUGUAGCCUUUGAGUAACAGUUUACGUAUCUUCAUUUCUUCCAGGCUAAUUUUAUCCACCCGUCGUGUGCACAAUAUUCUGAAUUUCUAAGCCAACGUCCACGCACUGCCAAAAUCCUGACGUCUUCAUUCUCUUUUCUUCUUACACCGCUUUGAUUCAUACUCGAAAUUCUAAAGAGUGGUGUUCCAGGCCUUUUAAGUAUUGAUUGAUUUUUUUGAGUAAUUAAUAUUGAAAUUUCGUUUUAGUUUAAAUCUUGAAAAAGGCAUUUGAGAAACAAGCUGAUUCAAGAAAGGUGAUCACAAAAUAAUCAAUUAUAAAAGGAAUCAUAAUGUAAAUAAUUAUGAAGAAUGAUCAUAAAUAAUCAAUUGAAAAGUUAGUGCAGUCUUCCCACCUCAGAUAUCUUCGAAACUAUAAGUUUCACAGAAAUAUUUGCUAAAAUAAAAUUGCACAGUGGAUUUAUUAAUAUUACCCCUUCGAUUUGCAGGUGUUCAUGGUCAUAUUUCCAAAAGUAUUGUAGAAUGGGAUUUAAUUAAGGGAUUUAAUUAAGAACAGGCAUUUUGUGCGAUGUGUUUUAGUACAUAAAAUUGAAUUUAUUUAGAAUAGUGCCUUUCUAAGCUUUAUUUCUAUAAAAAUAUAAAUUUCUAUAUAAAUAAAAUUUCUUUGAGAAAUGGUAGGGCAAUUUCAAUCGGGAACCUUUCGAGUAACACCUGGUAACACCUGUUAUGCUCAAAUUAGGCCACGUGCCCGAACGCUCAACCCUAACCUAAAUUCUUAUUCUCCCAAAUAUUCGAACGGUCUCACAAAUUGCUCGACAUACAAACAAAACAUACAACACACAACCCUUUAUUUUCUCUAGUUUCUAUUAACACUGCCAAGAUUCGUAAAAUUUUGUUGUUACUGUCUGGCUGGGG